Molecule: ribosomal RNA, 426 nt
Filed under: uncultured bacterium
Lineage: Bacteria
Description: bacterial SSU rRNA
Rfam family: Bacterial small subunit ribosomal RNA
Source: RNAcentral
AGGGAAUCUUCCGCAAUGGACGAAAGUCUGACGGAGCAACGCCGCGUGAGUGAAGAAGGCCUUCGGGUCGUAAAACUCUGUUGCCGGGGAAGAACAAGUGCCGUUCGAAUAGGGCGGCGCCUUGACGGUACCCGGCCAGAAAGCCACGGCUAACUACGUGUCAGCAGCCGCGGUAAUACGUAGGUGGCAAGCGUUGUCCGGAAUUAUUGGGCGUAAAGCGCGCGCAGGCGGCUUCUUAAGUCUGAUGUGAAAUCUUGGGGCUCAACCGCAAGCGGUCAUUGGAAACUGGGAGGCUUGAGUGCAGAAGAGGAGAGUGGAAUUCCACGUGUAGCGGUGAAAUGCGUAGAGAUGUGGAGGAACACCAGUGGCGAAGGCGACUCUCUGGGCUGUAACUGACGCUGAGGCGCGAAAGCGUGGGGAGCAAAC